RNAcentral lists this ribosomal RNA (267 nucleotides) under unidentified marine bacterioplankton. Its description in RNAcentral is "partial 16S ribosomal RNA". It matches the Rfam family "Bacterial small subunit ribosomal RNA", at positions 70 to 339 of the family's 1533-position model. The record is from RNAcentral.
CAGCACGGGGGCAACCCUGGUGGCGAGUGGCGAACGGGUGAGUAAUACAUCGGAACGUGCCCAGUCGUGGGGGAUAACUACGCGAAAGCGUAGCUAAUACCGCAUACGAUCUACGGAUGAAAGCGGGGGAUCGCAAGACCUCGCGCGAUUGGAGCGGCCGAUGGCAGAUUAGGUAGUUGGUGGGGUAAAGGCUCACCAAGCCUUCGAUCUGUAGCUGGUCUGAGAGGACGACCAGCCACACUGGGACUGAGACACGGCCCAGACUCC